CAGUCGCCAUGGUAAUACGAAGGGUGCAAGCGUUAAUCGGAAUUACUGGGCGUAAAGCGUGCGUAGGCGGUUUGUUAAGUCUGUUGUGAAAUCCCCGGGCUCAACCUGGGAAUGGCAAUGGAUACUGGCAAGCUAGAGUGUGUCAGAGGAUGGUGGAAUUCCCGGUGUAGCGGUGAAAUGCGUAGAGAUCGGGAGGAACAUCAGUGGCGAAGGCGGCCAUCUGGGACAACACUGACGCUGAGGCACGAAAGCGUGGGGAGCAAACAGGAUUAGAUACCCGCGUAGUCCCUGUCUCUUAUAC
RNAcentral lists this ribosomal RNA (301 nucleotides) under uncultured bacterium. Its description in RNAcentral is "partial 16S ribosomal RNA". It matches the Rfam family "Bacterial small subunit ribosomal RNA", at positions 509 to 807 of the family's 1533-position model. The record is from RNAcentral.